RNAcentral lists this ribosomal RNA (493 nucleotides) under uncultured Pseudomonadota bacterium. Its description in RNAcentral is "bacterial SSU rRNA". It matches the Rfam family "Bacterial small subunit ribosomal RNA", at positions 355 to 865 of the family's 1533-position model. Lineage: Bacteria; Pseudomonadati; Pseudomonadota. The record is from RNAcentral.
UGGGGAAUAUUGGACAAUGGGGGAAACCCUGAUCCAGCAAUGCCGCGUGAGUGAUGAAGGCCUUAGGGUUGUAAAGCUCUUUCGACGGGGACGAUGAUGACGGUACCCGUAGAAGAAGCCCCGGCUAACUUCGUGCCAGCAGCCGCGGUAAUACGAAGGGGGCUAGCGUUGUUCGGAAUUACUGGGCGUAAAGGGCGCGUAGGCGGUCUUGUAAGUCAGAUGUGAAAGCCCCGGGCUCAACCCGGGAAUAGCAUUUGAUACUGCGAGGCUUGAGUCCGGGAGAGGAUGGCGGAAUUCCCAGUGUAGAGGUGAAAUUCGUAGAUAUUGGGAAGAACACCGGUGGCGAAGGCGGCCAUCUGGACCGGUACUGACGCUGAGGCGCGAAAGCGUGGGGAGCAAACAGGAUUAGAUACCCUGGUAGUCCACGCCGUAAACGAUGAGUGCUAGACGCGUGGGGGUUAACCCGUUCGGUGUCGCAGCUAACGCAUUAAGC